This 709-nucleotide ribosomal RNA is filed under the name uncultured bacterium. RNAcentral's name for it is "bacterial SSU rRNA". It matches the Rfam family "Bacterial small subunit ribosomal RNA", at positions 60 to 767 of the family's 1533-position model. The record is from RNAcentral.
AGUCGACGAUAGAUAGAAGCUUGCUUUUAUCGAAAGUGGCGCACGGGUGCGUAACGCGUAUGCAACCUACCUUGAUCAGGGGGAUAGCCUCUCGAAAGAGAGAUUAACACCGCAUAACAUUAUUGAGUGGCAUCAUUUAAUAAUCAAAUAUUUAUAGGAUCGAGAUGGGCAUGCGUGACAUUAGCUAGUUGGCGGGGUAACGGCCCACCAAGGCUACGAUGUCUAGGGGAUCUGAGAGGAUGACCCCCCACACUGGUACUGAGACACGGACCAGACUCCUACGGGAGGCAGCAGUAAGGAAUAUUGGUCAAUGGGGGCAACCCUGAACCAGCCAUGCCGCGUGCAGGAAGACGGCCCUACGGGUUGUAAACUGCUUUUAUACGGGAAUAAACCUUACUACGUGUAGUGAGUUGAAUGUACCGUAGGAAUAAGGAUCGGCUAACUCCGUGCCAGCAGCCGCGGUAAUACGGAGGAUCCAAGCGUUAUCCGGAUUUAUUGGGUUUAAAGGGUGCGUAGGCGGCCUAUUAAGUCAGGGGUGAAAGACGGUGGCUCAACCAUCGCAGUGCCUUUGAUACUGAUAGGCUUGAAUACACUAGAGGUAGGCGGAAUGUGACAAGUAGCGGUGAAAUGCAUAGAUAUGUCACAGAACACCGAUUGCGAAGGCAGCUUACUAUGGUGUCAUUGACGCUGAGGCACGAAAGCGUGGGGA